RNAcentral lists this ribosomal RNA (301 nucleotides) under uncultured bacterium. RNAcentral describes it as "partial 16S ribosomal RNA". It matches the Rfam family "Bacterial small subunit ribosomal RNA", at positions 509 to 809 of the family's 1533-position model. The record is from RNAcentral.
CAGUCGCCACGGUAAUACAGAGGGUGCAAGCGUUAAUCGGAUUUACUGGGCGUAAAGCGUGUGUAGGUGGCUGUUCAAGUCGGUUGUGAAAGCCCUGGGCUCAACCUGGGAAUUGCUUCCGAGACUGAGCGGCUAGAGUACGGUAGAGGGCGGUGGAAUUUCCGGUGUAGCGGUGAAAUGCGUAGAUAUCGGAAGGAACACCAAUGGCGAAGGCAGCCGCCUGGGCCUGUACUGACACUGAGACACGAAAGCGUGGGGAUCAAACAGGAUUAGACCCCAGUAGUCCCUGUCUCUUAUACAC